UUCAGAGGAGGGUGGGUUAAGAAAAAGAAGCCGCUUUUAUUUUGAAGGAUAUGUUUCUCCAUUUCCGGUGAGCACCGGGACAGCAACCACAGCAAAAAUGAGAUCCAGUGCGACUCCCGUGACUUCCUCAGGAGAUGAGAAAAUGUUUCAAAAGAAUGGACGCCCCGUUAACCUGCCGAAACACUCCUACUGGCUGGAUUUGUGGGUGUUCCUGGUUUUUGACAUCGCUUUAUUCCUUUUCGUAUAUUUCAUCGUCCCGUAAGGAGGAUCAUCCCUUGGGCUGACUGCUAAGGACGUGGAGUGCUGCUCAUACCCUGCUGUGAGAAGGCUAACCCAGCUUUGACUGAAUUCAACCAUGCAGCAGCUUUCCACAGCUCAGUUGAAAGAUGCUCACGGGUUACGGACAUGGCCCCCUGACUUCACAUCGGCAGAAGUUGUACACUAACUAUUCAGAUGGAUUCCUCAUGAAGUCAGGAAGAAGUAUUUGUGUUACUGAAAACUUAAAAUGGCUUGACUGACUUGACUCAGAAAACAUGUCUGCAGAUAAUUUAAGAUGCUUCUGUUUUCACUGUAAAUGUUAUAUCCAUUGUAUCUGGGAAGAACAGAUGAGCUUCAGGAAAUGUGUAGUUUGUCAUAGUAAGCCAGAUGUUAAACUGGUGUCAGGACCAAUGACGAUACAAGCAGAGGAACGUAGUUAAAACACCGUAAGAAAAAAUUUGCUGAUGUGGAGGAACUCCAAGCAUUUACACCUGGACAAUUCAUAAUAAACUGUUCUUCCUGCCAGCUAAAUGAAGCCCUUUUAUUUUGACUCAUCAGGUCCAGUCAUACAGGCAUUCCAUCCCAGGCAACUGGUUUUUAUGCAAAGUUUUCUACUGACCUAUUAAACACCAGUCAACCAAAGUUUGGACACUCCUUCUGAUUCAAUGGUUUGUCUUUAUACAGUGGCUUGUAAAUUCAUACCCCUUUACUCUGAGUGCAACCAAUUACCUUGAGAAGUUGCCUGAUGAUUGCUAAUGACUACAUAGAGUCUGCCUUUGUGUAAUCUAAUCUGAGUACAAAUACAGCUGCUCUGUGAUGGCCUCAGAGGUUGACUCAGGGAGGCUGAAUACUUUUGCACACCGCUCUUCAGUUUUUUAUUUGUAACAAACAAAAAAAAUUAUUCAUGUAUAAUUUUCAUUCCACUUCACAUUUGUAUACCACUUUGUGUUUGGCUUUCACACAAAAUUCCAAAAAAUAUAUUUAUAUAAACAUGUUCAGUUUAUGGUUGUUAUGUGACAAUAUAUGGAACAGUUCAAGGGGUAUGAAUACUUUUACUAGCCACUGUAUCUAUUCCUACCUUCAGGAACUUCUUCAAGGCUGUUGGAAAACCAUUUCAGGUGACUACCUCAUGAAGCUCUGUGAGAGAACAAGACCGUGGAAAGCAGUAAUCACAUUAAAGGGGGCCUUUUUUUGAUAAUAUAAAAUGUUUUAUUUCACAAUUAUGUUUGCUACAUAAUUCUAUAUACUUUUGCUACAUGGUUUUGAUGUCUUCGCUACACAUCAGCAUUGUAGAAAGUGGAAAAAAAGAAGGAAAACCAGUGAAUGACAAAGAUGUCCAAACUUUCAACUAGUAGUAUUUUACAUAAAUGAUACAACAUAUUAGGUACAAUAAUUUAUAACACUUAUUCACUGCUAUUUUAAAUAAAUACUUACAAAAUUU
Long non-coding RNA from Girardinichthys multiradiatus, 1699 nucleotides. RefSeq lists it as uncharacterized. The transcript is spliced from 2 exons. The record is from RefSeq and is a predicted model, not a curated record. Lineage: Eukaryota; Metazoa; Chordata; Actinopteri; Cyprinodontiformes; Goodeidae.